Bradysia coprophila is the source of this 146-nucleotide long non-coding RNA. The record is from RefSeq and is a predicted model, not a curated record. Lineage: Eukaryota; Metazoa; Arthropoda; Insecta; Diptera; Sciaridae.
GAUUGAAAGAAGUAAUAGAUUCGAUUAUUAUUCGUUGAUAUGCUUGCUAACUGUAUAAGGUUAGACACGACUUAUGAAACUUUCGAAGAAUCAGAAGACGGAAAUUCUGAAUGUUCCGGUAUGAAUCAUCUCCUUUAAAAAAAUCU